AGCGGUAAUAAGCAGAUGACUUAGGAGUGAAAAACGAGGAAUGGAGAUUGAAGACAAAAAUGAGCUCGAGGAAAUUUGGUGAGGUAUCAAUUUAGGAGUAACAAGAAACAAUCUGCGAGCAAGGUUGAGAAAAAACAUUGAAGAGGAAGAACAUCCACCAUUAUCUAAGAGAAUUGAGAUUAAGGAUUCUUCUAAUAUAUUCGGGUUACGUAUUCAUCUUCCAUCUUGUAUUUCUGCGAUACAAUUAUGAGUGGUUAAGCUUCUUCUUGUUGCUAGGAUUUACAAUGAAGCCUUUAAUUCUUUAAUCUAAUAAAUUGCUCUU
This 322-nucleotide long non-coding RNA is filed under the name Olea europaea (common olive). RNAcentral's name for it is "long non-coding RNA (OEUR_LNC005526)". The record is from RNAcentral. Lineage: Eukaryota; Viridiplantae; Streptophyta; Magnoliopsida; Lamiales; Oleaceae.